AUUCCAGCUCCAAUAGCGUAUAUUAAAGUUGUUGCAGUUAAAAAGCUCGUAGUUGGAUUUCUGGUGCAUUCCACUGGCCUAUUGGUUAACUCCAACUUGGCUCAUUUGGAAUACGCCAUCUUUAGGCAGACCCGUCGUGGCAUUAGGUUGUCGUGAUGGUUACGCCUAUCGUUUACUGUGAAGAAAUUAGGGUGUUCAAAGCAGGCUUAUGCCAUGAAUACGUUAGCAUGGAAUAAUGAGAUAGGAUUUCGGUACUAUUUUGUUGGUUUGUGUACGGAAAUAAUGAUUAACAGGAACAGUGUUGUGGGUAUUCGUAUUUCGUUGUCAGAGGUGAAAUUCUUGGAUUUACGAAAGACGAACGACUGCGAAAGCAUUUACCAAGGAUGUUUUCAUUG
This 395-nucleotide ribosomal RNA is filed under the name Leptocylindrus sp. Its description in RNAcentral is "partial small subunit ribosomal RNA". It matches the Rfam family "Eukaryotic small subunit ribosomal RNA", at positions 582 to 975 of the family's 1831-position model. The record is from RNAcentral. Lineage: Eukaryota; Bacillariophyta; Leptocylindrophyceae; Leptocylindrales; Leptocylindraceae.